RNAcentral lists this transfer RNA (75 nucleotides) under Candidatus Bathyarchaeota archaeon RBG_13_46_16b. RNAcentral describes it as "tRNA-Lys". It matches the Rfam family "tRNA". Rfam says of the family: Transfer RNA (tRNA) molecules are approximately 80 nucleotides in length. Lineage: Archaea; Thermoproteati; Candidatus Bathyarchaeota. The record is from RNAcentral.
GGGCCCGUAGCUCAGUCAGGACAGAGCACCGGACUUUUAAUCCGGUGGUCGCGGGUUCAAUUCCCGUCGGGCCCG